RNAcentral lists this long non-coding RNA (480 nucleotides) under Homo sapiens (human). RNAcentral describes it as "HSALNT0263472". Lineage: Eukaryota; Metazoa; Chordata; Mammalia; Primates; Hominidae. The record is from RNAcentral.
GCCGGGUGUCCGAGAUCCCAUCAGUGGUGAGAGGCCACGAGACUCAGCUAUGCAGGGUCAGGGCAGGAAGGAAAGACACAAGCCUCAGUGAUGGCCUACCCAGUGCCAAGCGUGGGCUCAGUGCUUCCAACCUCCUUGAAUCCACACAGUCACCCUGGCAGGGACUAUUCCUGCCCCAUUGUGCCGACGCGGGGCCCAAGUCUCAAAGAGGUGCUGUUUGAACUCCCACAGCUACAAAGCAGCAGAGCCGAGAUCCAAACUCAGUUGUCUAUAUGGAAUUUUAUCUCAACCUUACACCGGCUCCUUCUGAGCCAGGGCAAACAAAAAUUGUACGUCUCUAAAACCUACGUGAGGGGCUCAAAUGCUGUAGGUUGUUUCCAAACCCUGGGGUCCAUUCAAUCCUCUUCCAGGCUUUGGCAGGAGGGCAGGGUUGGUUCGACCUCUUCCUUUUCCUGGGGUUCAAUACACAAGGUAUGUGGA